This 227-nucleotide long non-coding RNA is filed under the name Hordeum vulgare. Its description in RNAcentral is "long non-coding RNA (HVUL_LNC010741)". The record is from RNAcentral. Lineage: Eukaryota; Viridiplantae; Streptophyta; Magnoliopsida; Poales; Poaceae.
CUUCUUCUUCCAGGUUCUUCCUCCUUCUCCUUCUCCUUCUUCUUUUCUUCUUCUUCUCCUCUUCCUUCUUCUCCUCCUCCUCAUCCUCCUCCUUCUAUUACUUCUUCUUCUCUUUCUCUUCUUCUACGUAGCUUAGACUCAUCCAAGAAAGGCUAAAUUGGCUAAUUAUCCUACGAAAUGACAUAAUUAGCUUAGUUAGCUCCAAAAUGACAUAUUUAAUAAAAAAA